RNAcentral lists this ribosomal RNA (1345 nucleotides) under uncultured bacterium. RNAcentral describes it as "bacterial SSU rRNA". It matches the Rfam family "Bacterial small subunit ribosomal RNA", at positions 28 to 1381 of the family's 1533-position model. The record is from RNAcentral.
GAUGAACGCUAGCGGGAGGCCUAACACACGUAAGCCGAGCGGUAUUGUUUCUUCGGAAAUGAGAGAGCGGCGUACGGGUGCGGAACACGUGUGCAACCUGCCUUUAUCUGGGGGAUAGCCUUUCGAAAGGAAGAUUAAUACUCCAUAAUAUAUUGAACGGCAUCGUUUAAUAUUGAAAGCUCCGGCGGAUAGAGAUGGGCACGCGCAAGAUUAGCUAGUUGGUGAGGUAACGGCUCACCAAGGCGAUGAUCUUUAGGGGGCCUGAGAGGGUGAUCCCCCACACUGGUACUGAGACACGGACCAGACUCCUACGGGAGGCAGCAGUGAGGAAUAUUGGUCAAUGGGUGCAAGCCUGAACCAGCCAUCCCGCGUGAAGGACGACUGCCCUAUGGGUUGUAAACUUCUUUUGUAUAGGGAUAAACCUACCCUCGUGAGGGUAGCUGAAGGUACUAUACGAAUAAGCACCGGCUAACUCCGUGCCAGCAGCCGCGGUAAUACGGAGGGUGCAAGCGUUAUCCGGAUUUAUUGGGUUUAAAGGGUCCGUAGGCGGACUUAUAAGUCAGUGGUGAAAGCCUGUCGCUUAACGAUAGAACUGCCAUUGAUACUGUAAGUCUUGAGUAUAUUUGAGGUAGCUGGAAUAAGUAGUGUAGCGGUGAAAUGCAUAGAUAUUACUUAGAACACCAAUUGCGAAGGCAGGUUACCAAGAUAUAACUGACGCUGAGGGACGAAAGCGUGGGGAGCGAACAGGAUUAGAUACCCUGGUAGUCCACGCCGUAAACGAUGCUAACUCGUUUUUGGGCUUUAGGGUUCAGAGACCAAGCGAAAGUGAUAAGUUAGCCACCUGGGGAGUACGCUCGCAAGAGUGAAACUCACAGGAAUUGACGGGGGCCCGCACAAGCGGUGGAUUAUGUGGUUUAAUUCGAUGAUACGCGAGGAACCUUACCAAGACUUAAAUGGGAAUUGACAGCUUUAGAAAUAGAGCUUUCUUCGGACAAUUUUCAAGGUGCUGCAUGGUUGUCGUCAGCUCGUGCCGUGAGGUGUUAGGUUAAGUCCUGCAACGAGCGCAACCCCUGUCACUAGUUGCCAUCAUUCAGUUGGGGACUCUAGUGAGACUGCCUACGCAAGUAGAGAGGAAGGUGGGGAUGACGUCAAAUCAUCACGGCCCUUACGUCUUGGGCCACACACGUAAUACAAUGGCCGGUACAGAGGGCAGCUACACAGCGAUGUGAUGCAAAUCUCGAAAGCCGGUCUCAGUUCGGAUUGGAGUCUGCAACUCGACUCUAUGAAGCUGGAAUCGCUAGUAAUCGCGCAUCAGCCAUGGCGCGGUGAAUACGAUGCCGGGCCU